CCUGCGCAGCCCCGGGCCGCUCCGCGGGGCGCGCCGGGAAGUGCAGUCCGUGGGGAGAGCGGCGGCGCUACUGCCCCCUGUCGGCCGGCGGUGCACACCCCGCCCCAGGCGCGUCCGUGACACCGAAAUGUUUUCUUUCUUUAUAUCGGCACGUAAAAUUUACUGCGUUUUGUGAGCGGGCUUUGUUUUGGCCUCGUCCUCUCCCCCUAGGAAUUCUGUGCGUGACCCGGAAACUAAAGUACCAUUAGGCUGCUUGCGUUCGAAGAACAAAAGGCGUUUGAAGGUCGCGUCCUUUGCAGGCACAGCGAGGUGUACAGGAGAGGAAACUAAUGGUGUGGGUCUUCAGAGUUAGUGUGAUAGCGUAUUUCUGUGCAUUCUGUAGGGUAUGUCUAAAUAUUUUGGUGGAUUUAAUAUUUUUUACCAGCCGUGGAAACUGAUUUGCCUGCUAGAUAACUGUAAAAAUGUUCCUGUACGCUAGAUGAGAACAAUGUUGAAACUGACCGCAUGUGAUUCAAACUGCCUUAAGCUUCAAGAUCAAAGAACAAGGACAAGGACUUCCAAGGACAGCCAACAGAAUCUCAAAUGGGUCAGUGGUUGUAAAAGCAGCCCUUCGACUCAAAUGAAUUCUUCAUUGUGCAUGAUCGGAUGUAGGCAGUACUAUGAUAAUCAGUUACAAUAAUUUUUAUGUAUAUGUAUACUAAUCUGACUAAUAUGUAAUUGUUACUCCAUAUAACCUGUUUGUGCUGAAGCUGUGACAUGCACACUAGGUGGGAUUAUCCCCUGUGCAUCCAGCGCUGCAAUAAAGAAUGCCUGCUUUCUAAAACUCCAAAA
This is a long non-coding RNA of Harpia harpyja (harpy eagle), 831 nucleotides long. RefSeq lists it as uncharacterized. Lineage: Eukaryota; Metazoa; Chordata; Aves; Accipitriformes; Accipitridae. The transcript has 2 exons. The record is from RefSeq and is a predicted model, not a curated record.